Molecule: long non-coding RNA, 103 nt
Organism: Papilio xuthus (Asian swallowtail)
Lineage: Eukaryota; Metazoa; Arthropoda; Insecta; Lepidoptera; Papilionidae
Exons: 3
Source: RefSeq, a predicted model, not a curated record
AACUUCAACUUUUUUAAGUAUCAAGUUUGCGAAGGGUGAUAAUUAUUCUAUUAUUAUUUUAAAGUUGAUACAGUUUACAAUAUCUCAAGGCUCGAGCAGCUGG